RNAcentral lists this ribosomal RNA (1452 nucleotides) under uncultured Pseudooceanicola sp. Its description in RNAcentral is "bacterial SSU rRNA". It matches the Rfam family "Bacterial small subunit ribosomal RNA". The record is from RNAcentral. Lineage: Bacteria; Pseudomonadati; Pseudomonadota; Alphaproteobacteria; Rhodobacterales; Paracoccaceae.
GAGUUUGAUCCUGGCUCACAACGAACGCUGGCGGCAGGCCUAACACAUGCAAGUCGAGCGAACCUUCGGGUUAGCGGCGGACGGGUUAGUAACGCGUGGGAAUGUACCCUUCACUGCGGAAUAGCCACUGGAAACGGUGAGUAAUACCGCAUACGCCCUUCGGGGGAAAGAUUUAUCAGUGAAGGAUCAGCCCGCGUCUGAUUAGAUAGUUGGUGGGGUAACGGCCUACCAAGUCGACGAUCAGUAGCUGGUUUUAGAGGAUGACCAGGCAACACUGGGACCUGAGACACGGCCCAGACUCCUACGGGAGGCAGUCAUUGGGGAAUCUUAGACAAUGGGCGCAAGCCUGAUUCUAGCCAUGCCGCGUGAGUGAUGAAGGCCUUAGGGUCGUAAAGCUCUUUCGCCAGGGAUGAUAAUGACAAGUACCUGGUAAAGAAACCCCGGGCUAACUCUGUGCCAGCAGCCGCGGUAAUACGGAGGGGAUUAGCGUUGUUCGGAAUUACUGGGCGUAAAGCGCACGUAGGCCGGACUAUUAAGUCAGGGGUGAAAUCCCGGGGCUCAACCCCCGGAACUGCCUUUGAUACUGGUAGUCUUGAGUUCGAGAGAGGUGAGUGGAAUUCCGAGUGUAGAGGUGAAAUUCGUAGAUAUUCGGAGGAACACCAGUGGCGAAGGCGGCUCACUGGCUCGAUACUGACGCUGAGGUGCGAAAGUGUGGGGGAGCAAACAGGAUUAGAUACCCUGGUAGUCCACACCGUAAACGAUGAAUGCCAGUCGUCGGGUAGCAUGCUAUUCGGUGACACACCUAGCGGAUUAAGCAUUCCGCCUGGGGAGUACGGUCGCAAGAUUAAAACUCAAAGGAACUGACGGGGGCCCGCACAAGCGGUGGAGCAUGUGGUUUAAUUCGAAGCAACGCGCAGAACCUUACCAACCCUUGACAUCCCUGUGCCACUCCGAGAGAAUCGGACGGUCCCCUUCGGGACGCAGUGACCAGGUGCUUGCAUGGCCUGUCGUCAGCCUCCGUGUCCUGGAGAUGUUCGGUUAAGUCCCGCCAACGAGUCGCUCACAACCCACACCCUUAAGUUGCCAGCAUUCAGUUGGGCACUUCUUAGGGGGAACUGCCCUGUGAUACCGGGGAGGAAGGCUUGUAUGACGCUCAGGUCCCCUCGAGGCCCUUACGGGUUGGGCUACACACGUGCUACAAUGGCAACUACAGUGGGUUAAUCCCCAAAAGUUGUCUCAGUUCGGAUUGUUCUCUGCAACUCGAGAGCAUGAAGUCGGAAUCGCUAGUAAUCGCGUAACAGCAUGACGCGGUGAAUACGUUCCCGGGCCUUGUACACACCGCCCGUCACAUCAUGGGAGUUGGGUUUACCCGAAGACGGUGCGCCAACCUUAGGGGGGCAGCUGGCCACGGUAGGCUCAGCGACUGGGAUGAAGUCGUAACAAGGUAGCCGU